AGAAUUUGCUGAUGAAGGCUUCCAAAACUGAAUGAUAGAACUGGGAUUAUGGGUGUGUAGUCUGAAUAGAAGUGUGUAGUAUCACAUGGUGGAAAACUCUGAGUUUAAGGUUUUAGAAUACA
This is a non-coding RNA of Sturnus vulgaris (Common starling), 122 nucleotides long. NCBI's taxonomy places the organism in Eukaryota, Metazoa, Chordata, Aves, Passeriformes, Sturnidae. The record is from RefSeq and is a predicted model, not a curated record.